AACGUAGGAGGCGAGCGUUAUCCGGAUUCACUGGGCGUAAAGCGCAUGUAGGUGGUUCGUUAAGUAGGCUGUGAAAGCCCCCGGCUCAACUGGGGGAGGUCAACCUAAACUGGCGGACUUGAGGUUUCGAGAGGAAGGUGGAAUUCCCGGUGUAGCGGUGGAAUGCGUAGAGAUCGGGAGGAACACCAGUGGCGAAAGCGGCCUUCUGGCGGAACCCUGACACUGAAAUGCGAAAGCGUGGGGAG
Molecule: ribosomal RNA, 245 nt
Filed under: uncultured bacterium
Lineage: Bacteria
Description: partial 16S ribosomal RNA
Rfam family: Bacterial small subunit ribosomal RNA
Source: RNAcentral